This is a long non-coding RNA of Ceratina calcarata, 1120 nucleotides long. RefSeq lists it as uncharacterized. The record is from RefSeq and is a predicted model, not a curated record. Lineage: Eukaryota; Metazoa; Arthropoda; Insecta; Hymenoptera; Apidae. The transcript is spliced from 2 exons.
UCCCCACAUUUUUGAAGACGUCGGCCAACGCCGAGCGGAGCGAGCAGACCGCCCAUACGUCCGCUCGCAUUCUCCCGCGCGCUCGCGCGCACGCACGCCACGGCUAGACAAGCUCGAGGAAGCGGAGGUGGUGAAGGUGGCGUAGAAUCUCUGGGUCGUGUGCGUGCCGCGAGAGAAAGAGAGAAAACGCUUCUGGAAGUCGGUGGUAGUCGCUAUCGGUGCAUCUACGCCUCGGAUUACGCCUCGGUUUCUCAACGUUCACCUCCUCUCUUCCUCCUCCGCCUCUUUCACCACCGACCAGCCACCUCCAUUAUACUUUUCGUUCCAUCGAACGUGUCCCCGCGCGUUUUUCGAUCCUCGCGCCGCGCCGCCGUUACCGAUACUCGUUUCGCGCAAACGCGAGGAACGUGCCCGUCGCGAGCGGACAGCUUCCGGAAGGCUCGCGCGAGCGAUCCAGCCCACCUCGGCACGGUUCGAGUGAUUUAUCUCGCGAAAUUUCAACCGGACUCGGCUCGCUCGCCAAGCAUUCCGGAUAGAUUCGCGUAAUCGUGAGCGAAAGCUUGUAAUUAAUGGACCUGCUGCUCUUAAUUUUAUAUCGCGCGCCGCUUUUCCUUCGGACCAUCACCACUCGUGCAUGCAUACACCUAGAAACGUUUUCUAGCCUGUCAAGACGAUCUCCGAAACGCGAGUUCUCCAUAGAACUUUUGACUCUGAUGCUCAAGUCCACGGUGGUCCCACGGUCCAUCGGAACGCGAUCCGAGCGCGAGUUCCAUUACUUUCUCCUCUUUUUAUUUCAAUCGCAUCGCCUCUGUUCCAUCUGAACAGCCGGCAAGAGUAUCCGCGGCGAACGCUUCCGGAUCUGACCGGAAGGAUCAAACUUUCUGCGGUUUUGCGUACUAAUGCAUAUUAGCUUUCAUCAUGGUUUCCAGUCAAUCGAUAUCUUGAUUUUUCGAUCGACCGUCCAUCCGCUUCCGGUUCCCACUAUAAAGAUGCUCACUGUGAACGAUGUUUGAAUGAUAGCAAAGAUACGACUUGGCUGAGCGAUUCAAUUGCAGACAUGAUAUUAUGUACUGAAAACGUACGAUACGAAUUAUUGAAUAAAAUAUAUGAACGAGUUAAA